Xiphophorus couchianus (Monterrey platyfish) is the source of this 630-nucleotide long non-coding RNA. RefSeq lists it as uncharacterized. The transcript has 4 exons. The record is from RefSeq and is a predicted model, not a curated record. NCBI's taxonomy places the organism in Eukaryota, Metazoa, Chordata, Actinopteri, Cyprinodontiformes, Poeciliidae.
GUUGUUACAGCCGCAGAAAACUUAGCAGUCUGAGCUAAUGAGGCGUUUACGUUGUCCACCAUUAUGAAUAUGUAAUCCAUGUUACUAAAGUACAUUAAACAGAAGCUACGAAAUGCCACAUGAUCAACGAACUCUUCCGGGAUUGACAGUCACUGCUCGGCGGCGUUGCGUUUGGCUACUGCUGUGUGAAGACUUGGCUUUCUAAGAAUUGACCGUCUAUUGUUCUACAUAAUCCAUUGUUACACAACCUAUAUGUUAGACUCAGCGGUCAGGGUUUUUGCAGCCGAACUGACUUAAUGUAGUUCCCUGGGCGCCCCUCCCUGCCCCGCCCUGGUAGGAGGCGCUGCAGAGAUGUUACUCCACACUGAGCGGCAGCAGAAGAAGAAUCCCACAGCAGUCCAUUAAUGUGAGCAGAUCAGAUUUUCCCAGUUAGAUCCUGAUGCUUAGAUUACAUUAAAAAUAGAAUCUAGAAUCUAGAACAGGAGAAACGCAUCAGAUCCUCCAGGAGGAGAGAUGCUGCCAUGACUGGAUUCAACCUGCUGGUUUCAUCAUCAACAUUUCAGUCUGAAUAAUGACUGAACUUAAUGCAGUGUUUCAUAAUAAAGAUCAGCUGGAAUGGAUGCCACUGUU